GACGAACGCUGGCGGCGUGCUUAACACAUGCAAGUCGAACGGUGAACCUCUUCGGAGGGGAUCAGUGGCGAACGGGUGAGUAACACGUGGGCAACCUGCCCCCGGCUCUGGGAUAACUCCAAGAAAUUGGGGCUAAUACCGGAUGUUCACCGCUUCCCGCAUGGGUGGUGGUGGAAAGGGUUUCCGGCUGGGGAUGGGCCCGCGGCCUAUCAGCUUGUUGGUGGGGUAGUGGCCUACCAAGGCGACGACGGGUAGCCGGCCUGAGAGGGUGACCGGCCACACUGGGACUGAGACACGGCCCAGACUCCUACGGGAGGCAGCAGUGGGGAAUAUUGCGCAAUGGGCGGAAGCCUGACGCAGCGACGCCGCGUGGGGGAUGACGGCCUUCGGGUUGUAAGCCUCUUUCAGCAGGGACGAAGCGCAAGUGACGGUACCUGCAGAAGAAGCACCGGCCAACUACGUG
Molecule: ribosomal RNA, 463 nt
Filed under: uncultured bacterium
Lineage: Bacteria
Description: partial 16S ribosomal RNA
Rfam family: Bacterial small subunit ribosomal RNA
Source: RNAcentral